CAGCCGCCGCGGUAAGACAGAGGAUGCAAGCGUUAUCCGGAAUGAUUGGGCGUAAAGCGUCUGUAGGUGGCUUUUCAAGUCCGCCGUCAAAUCCCAGGGCUCAACCCUGGACAGGCGGUGGAAACUACCAAGCUGGAGUACGGUAGGGGCAAAGGGAAUUUCCGGUGUAGCGGUGAAAUGCGUAGAUAUCGGAAGGAACACCUGUGGCGAAAGCAGCUCACUGGACCAUUACUGACGCUGAUGCACGAAAGCUAGGGGAGCAAACAGGAUUAGAUACCCCGGUAGUCCCUGUCUCUAUACA
This 301-nucleotide ribosomal RNA is filed under the name uncultured bacterium. Its description in RNAcentral is "partial 16S ribosomal RNA". It matches the Rfam family "Bacterial small subunit ribosomal RNA", at positions 509 to 808 of the family's 1533-position model. The record is from RNAcentral.